GACGAACGCUGGCGGCGUGCUUAACACAUGCAAGUCGAACGGAAAGGCACCUUUGGGGGUACUCGAGUGGCGAACGGGUGAGUAACACGUGAGUAACCUGCCCUUGCCUUCGGGAUAACUUCAGGAAACUGGGGCUAAUACCGGAUAGGCAUCCUUGCUGCAUGGGGGGGGUUGGGAAGCUUUGGCGGUUUUGGAUGGACUCGCGGCUUAUCAGCUUGUUGGUGGGUUAGUGGCUUACCAAGGCUUUGACGGGUAGCCCGCCUGAGAGGGCGACCGGCCACAUUGGCUCUGAGAGACGGCCCAGACGCCUACGAGAGGCAGCAGUGGGGAAUAUUGCACAAUGGGCGGAGGCCUGAUGCAGCAACGCCGCGUGUGGGAUAACGGCCUUCGGGUUGUAGACCGCUUUCAGCAGGAGCGAAGCUUGUGGUGACGGUACCUGCAGAAUAAGCACCGGCUAACUACGUG
Molecule: ribosomal RNA, 465 nt
Filed under: uncultured bacterium
Lineage: Bacteria
Description: partial 16S ribosomal RNA
Rfam family: Bacterial small subunit ribosomal RNA
Source: RNAcentral